GACGAACGCUGGCGGCGUGCCUAAUACAUGCAAGUCGAGCGAACUUGCGGGAGCUUGCUCCCAAAAGUUAGCGGCGGACGGGUGAGUAACACGUGGGCAACCUGCCCUAUAGUUUGGGAUAACUCCGGGAAACCGGGGCUAAUACCGAAUAAUACAUUUCAUCUCCUGGUGAAAUGUUGAAAGAUGGUUUCGGCUAUCGCUAUAGGAUGGGCCCGCGGCGCAUUAGCUAGUAGGUGAGGUAACGGCUCACCUAGGCGACGAUGCGUAGCCGACCUGAGAGGGUGAUCGGCCACACUGGGACUGAGACACGGCCCAGACUCCUACGGGAGGCAGCAGUAGGGAAUCUUCCACAAUGGGCGAAAGCCUGAUGGAGCAACGCCGCGUGAGUGAAGAAGGUUUUCGGAUCGUAAAACUCUGUUGUAAGGGAAGAACAAGUGCAGUAGUAACUGGCUGCACCUUGACGGUACCUUAUUAGAAAGCCACGGCUAACUACGUGCCAGCAGCCGCGGUAACAC
Molecule: ribosomal RNA, 515 nt
Filed under: uncultured bacterium
Lineage: Bacteria
Description: bacterial SSU rRNA
Rfam family: Bacterial small subunit ribosomal RNA
Source: RNAcentral